AAUAGAUACCCAGGUAGUCCACGCUGUAAACGUUGGGCGCUAGGUGUGGGGGGCCUCUCCGGUUCCCUGUGCCGCAGCUAACGCAUUAAGCGCCCCGCCUGGGGAGUACGGCCGCAAGGCUAAAACUCAAAAGAAUUGACGGGGGCCCGCACAAGCGGCGGAGCAUGCGGAUUAAUUCGAUGCAACGCGAAGAACCUUACCUGGGUUUGACAUGCACCAGACAUCCCUAGAGAUAGGGCUUCCCUUGUGGUUGGUGUGCAGGUGGUGCAUGGCUGUCGUCAGCUCGUGUCGUGAGAUGUUGGGUUAAGUCCCGCAACGAGCGCAACCCUCGUUCCAUGUUGCCAGCGCGUAAUGGCGGGGACUCAUGGGAGACUGCCGGGGUCAACUCGGAGGAAGGUGGGGAUGACGUCAAGUCAUCAUGCCCCUUAUGUCCAGGGCUUCACACAUGCUACAAUGGCCGGUACAGAGGGUUGCGAGACCGUGAGGUGGAGCGAAUCCCUUAAAGCCGGUCUCAGUUCGGAUCGGGGU
This 528-nucleotide ribosomal RNA is filed under the name uncultured bacterium. RNAcentral's name for it is "bacterial SSU rRNA". It matches the Rfam family "Bacterial small subunit ribosomal RNA", at positions 777 to 1304 of the family's 1533-position model. The record is from RNAcentral.